This is a non-coding RNA of Capsicum annuum, 112 nucleotides long. The record is from Rfam. NCBI's taxonomy places the organism in Eukaryota, Viridiplantae, Streptophyta, Magnoliopsida, Solanales, Solanaceae.
GAGAGCACAGUACGAUGAAAGUUGUAAGCUUUGUUUGGGGGGAGUUAUUGUCUAUCAUUCGCCUCUAUGGUAGAAUUAGUUGGGAGACCUAAGAUGCGGUGGUUUACCCUGG